Mus musculus (house mouse) is the source of this 3101-nucleotide long non-coding RNA. RefSeq annotates it as predicted gene, 35379. NCBI's taxonomy places the organism in Eukaryota, Metazoa, Chordata, Mammalia, Rodentia, Muridae. The record is from RefSeq and is a predicted model, not a curated record. The transcript has 3 exons.
ACACACACACACACACACACACACACACACACACACAUACCCUUCUUAAACUGAAAGUUCUUCAUUGCCAAGGAGGAACCCAAGUAAUUCUUUGUUAGUGGAUUAUUCAGUGGAAGGAAACCUGCCAUGUUUACUGCCUUCAUCAGCUGGCCUAGACUGUUACUGUUUUUACUGAUAGCUGAUACAUGGAGGGCAUCAGUCAGAAGUGGUCUGAGCAUGCUAAUAACAGUAUGCGUCCAUUAACUCUAAUGUAGGAGAAUGUGUAAUGCCUGUUUUGGCAUAUUGUUCCUCAUAUAUAUUUGUGUGAAUUUAAUUUCCCUUUUGGGGCUCAAUUUUUAAUUUCUUCCCAUUCUACAAUAAGUACAUGUUUAUUUUUGCAAUAAAAUGUAAGUCUUUAAACACCAAGUAAGGUGUGACAUCACAUAUGAACAACACAUUUAAUUUUCGAAGAGUCUGGAAAAACAAACACCAUCCCUGUCAAGGAACAUUUGUACUUUUGCUGUCUAAGGCUAAGGUACUCUAGAAAGAAGUUCUCACUUUUCAGGUAGGAUAGUGCAGUAUGCCCUGUGUAAGGAUGGUGAUGCUUCCAGCAAGUGACGGUGUAUAGAAAGCUGGAGGUCUUAUUGUUUUUCUCCCAAAUAAAGCAGUUCACUGGUGCAGAGGCUAGACUACUACUCCUUACUGGUAGAAUCCUGUGUUAGGUGGGGACUGGGAUUCUUUAACAAGCAGGUUCCAAAAUGUGGGCUGCCUCUAACAAACAGAAUAUAAACCCAGGCUCAUUCAUGUCAGACUUCCUAGUACCUGUGGUCUGUGUGAUUCUUCUCUACCCAGGAACUCAGGGUCUGCCUCCAGUCACCUCUCUGUCCUGGAAGGCACUGCUGUGAUAUGAAGCCUGUUAAAAAGGGGAGGAGCAACUGUGGAGGGCCUAGAAGUGGAAUGCGGCUGCUAUCAUGCUACCCCCAGUCAAAUGACAUCUGUGCAGGAAACCAAGAAACGCAGCACAUGUGGGCUCCAGGAAGAAGAGGGAAGAGCUUAAGGGGAAGCAACCUGCAGUCUCUACUUCAGGUGCCUACCAUGUGCCAGGCAUAGCGCUAGUAAGAGAACUCCAGUCUAGUUAAUAGUGCACUAUUUUAUUUUAUUUUUACAGAUCAAUGUAGAGAGCACUAUUGCUAAGCAAUGGAAGAGAGCUAGUGAGAACACUAGUAUGCACUAGGAGAGCCUAACUCCACACACAGAGCAGGAGUAGUGGAUGGCCUUAGUUAUGUUAGUUUUAUACAUAUAUGUUUAUCGAGAAACUGCUAAGAGCCAGGCAUCUAUAAACAUACAGUUUGUUGGAGGCAGGUAGUAAGGCAUGACCCUAAGCCCUUAGAACCAUGGGCACUGUUUUAGUUUGGGUAUGAAACAUCCUCCUAAAAGACUCAUGUAUUUCAGGUUUGGACUACAGGCUGGUACAUCCAGCCUUUGAGGGGUGACUAUACCAUGAAGAGUCUUACCUAAACAAUGGGCUUAUCCACCGACAGGUUCAUGGUCUAAGACAUCGUUAGGAGUGAUGGAAAAGAAACUCUUAGAAAUGGCGCUGGAUUUGAAGAGGUAGCUUACUGGGGUGCAUUCUUGGAGGUGAUGUCUUGUUCUGGGUCCUCAUUGUCUCUCAGCUUCCUGGACAUUAUGAGUGUGCCAUGAAUGUUAACAGAGACUGGAGCAAGGCCUAACAUUGGGCUAAUGGCAACAAUUACUAACAGUGACCAACUAGAAGGAGAAUAGACGCGUCGUCACAAAAAGAAGCCAAUGAGAAUCUAGACGGAAUGAAAUGGGCAACAAUCCCCAAGCCACAGACUCAUUCAUCACCCAUCACAAGGAAGAAGCAACAGCUAGGGCGGUGGCCCUGGGGAGAACAGUGCUUCCCUGCUUCGAGAGUACGUCAUAAAAUGUAGGUGAAGGAAGGCAUAAAUGACCUGUUCUAAGAACGCAGGGGAAGGUCUCCCUCAACACAGCAUUCAUUGCAAUGAAAUUCAGGACAAACACUAUACUAUGCAUGAAGAUCACUGCCUGGAGACCCCAGCUCUUCAUUCCCGACGUCGUAUUUGAAAAUGGAACCUGAGGAAAGCGUGCUUUAUUCAUUUUGUUGUUUUCUGUGGUGCUCGCUCGGCUGCCCUGAAAGCCCACCACAGGAGAGCUCAAUUAGGAGGCUUCAUAAUUUUCACCGGUUAACUUUGAUUAAAUGCACUGUCUUGGAGGGGAAACUCAGCCAAUCCGGGCUAUAAAUUACCUGCAGUGAGUUUUCAACCUAGAGUUUCUGAAAUAUUAGCACCCGGACAGGUCAUUUCUUUCAGGGCUGGACUUUACACCUGAUUUGGAAUUCCGUACUUCAUUUUACCAGAGUCAAGAACUGAGGGCGAAACUGCCUGUAUUGCUCAGCCCAACAGGUCCCUCAAAGCACAUGUAGAAAAAUUCAUUCAUUCAUUCAUUCAUUCAUUCAUUCUGAUGUCUGCCACUGGCUGUAUCCAUUAGUGUAAGGGUGAAGUCCCUUUGACCCCGUCCCCCUCACUAGCUUCUAUUUAUUAUCUUACACCUCACAGUGUCUUCUGGCUCGUGAGCCAGAUUUCAGUCAGAUCAGUUGCCAAAGGUUAGACAAAGCGGGAUGAAAAGAACAGGUUCCCACUGAUGAAUGGUCAGCCAGCUUUCCAGACCAAGGACAAGGGAAAACCAAGGCUGUCUAGGCUCCCCACGAACCAACUAAGUGGUGAGGCCAUGGGAGAAGAGAUCUGGCUGCUUGCAUCUUUGUUGAGGGAAAGGCUGUGGGGGGAAGGGAGGGAAGAGUGUUUUAAGGGUGGGGCUGGGGAUUCAGUAAAAUCAGUUUUUAUCUGUAUUGUCAGUCUUAGAGAAUAACAAGGGUGUGUUUUCAUUUCCUGCUGUAAGAACUCCAAGCCUCUGUUUACCUUCCCUGUGAGACAGGGUUGCUGAAAGCAUUUUGGUUUUCUGGGCUUGGCAUAUGUAACCGUAAAGUCUUAGGCUUUUACGCUAUUGACAUUUUACUCAGUGGGGUCUCUGUUGUUUAAAAAAAAUAUGUCUGCUGAAUAAAAACAGCUUACAUUUUCAGGUAA